AGUGAACGGUGGCGGUAGGCCUAACACAUGCAAGUCGAACGGCAGCACAGUAAGAGCUUGCUCUUACGGGUGGCGAGUGGCGGACGGGUGAGGAAUACAUCGGAAUCUACUUUUUCGUGGGGGAUAACGUAGGGAAACUUACGCUAAUACCGCAUACGACCUACGGGUGAAAGCAGGGGAUCUUCGGACCUUGCGCGAUUGAAUGAGCCGAUGUCGGAUUAGCUAGUUGGCGGGGUAAAGGCCCACCAAGGCGACGAUCCGUAGCUGGUCUGAGAGGAUGAUCAGCCACACUGGAACUGAGACACGGUCCAGACUCCUACGGGAGGCAGCAGUGGGGAAUAUUGGACAAUGGGCGCAAGCCUGAUCCAGCCAUACCGCGUGGGUGAAGAAGGCCUUCGGGUUGUAAAGCCCUUUUGUUGGGAAAGAAAAGCAGCAGGUUAAUACCCCGCUGUUCUGACGGUACCCAAAGAAUAAGCACCGGCUAACUUCGUG
RNAcentral lists this ribosomal RNA (492 nucleotides) under uncultured bacterium. RNAcentral describes it as "partial 16S ribosomal RNA". It matches the Rfam family "Bacterial small subunit ribosomal RNA", at positions 29 to 507 of the family's 1533-position model. The record is from RNAcentral.